RNAcentral lists this ribosomal RNA (263 nucleotides) under uncultured archaeon. RNAcentral's name for it is "partial 16S ribosomal RNA". It matches the Rfam family "Archaeal small subunit ribosomal RNA", at positions 748 to 1008 of the family's 1478-position model. The record is from RNAcentral.
AGGGUGUAGACGCUGCAGACUUGGUGUUGGGAACCCUUCGGGGGUGCUCAGUGCCGGAGAGAAGUUGUUAAGUCUGCUACUUGGGGAGUACGUCCGCAAGGAUGAAACUUAAAGGAAUUGGCGGGGGAGGCACCGCAACGGGAGGAGCGUGCGGUUUAAUUGGAUUCAACGUCGAAAAACUCACCAGCAGCGACUGUUACAUGAAAGUCAGGUUGAUGACCUUACUAGAUUUUUCAGAGAGGAGGUGCAUGGCGUCAGUGACU